UACGUAGGUGGCAAGCGUUAUCCGGAAUUAUUGGGCGUAAAGAGGGAGCAGGCGGCUAUAAAGGUCUGUGGUGAAAGACUGAAGCUCAACUUCAGUAAGCCAUGGAAACCAAAUAGCUAGAGUGCAUUAGAGGAUCGUGGAAUUCCAUGUGUAGCGGUGAAAUGCGUAGAUAUAUGGAGGAACACCAGUGGCGAAGGCGACGAUCUGGGAUGUAACAGACGCUGAGUCCCGAAAGCGUGGGGAGCAAAUAGGAUUAGAUACCCUAGUAGUCCACGCCGUAAACGAUGAGUACUAAGUGUUGGGAGUCAAAUCUCAGUGCUGCAGUUAACGCAAUAAGUACUCCGCCUGAGUAGUACGUUCGCAAGAAUGAA
Molecule: ribosomal RNA, 371 nt
Filed under: uncultured bacterium
Lineage: Bacteria
Description: bacterial SSU rRNA
Rfam family: Bacterial small subunit ribosomal RNA
Source: RNAcentral